UCACUGCCCCCCCACACGCCCCCCUGCUCACUCCCACCUUUCACCCCCAGGGCCCGCGGGGACCGACGGGGCUUCCUGGCCUGAAAGGGGAAAAAGGCGAGCCGGGGGAGCCCAGGGUGAUUGUAGAUGGAGGCCAGGGGCUGCCCGGACGGAAAGGGGAGCCGGGCACGCCGGGCAGCCCUGGCCCCCCCGGCAGCCCUGGCCCACGGGGACCCUUUGGAGAUCCAGGCCCUCUGGGUCCUACGGGGCCCAUGGGGCCACCGGGACCUCCGGGAGACUUCGUAAAGGGGGAGAAAGGGCGACCGAGGGGAGAGGGGCCCCCCAGGACUUGUGGAUGGGGCAGCGCCCCGAGGGGAGCCAGGUCCCCCGGGUCUGCCUGGGGAUCCUGGCCCUCGGGGACCUGCUGGCACCCCUGGACCCAAGGGCGAGAAGGUAAGAGGGUGGUGGGGACCCCCCUGGCUCUGCAGCGGGGACGCACGUCCCCAUCUCACGGUGUCCUGCUGCCUUUCCUGCCCCCUCAGGGUGAUGGUGAGGACGGUUUGCCAGGGCCACCCGGCCGCCCAGGGGACCCAGGGGACCGGGUGAGUGUCCCGGGACGGGGCAAGGUGGGAGGUGACGCGCUCCCCCCACGGGAGGUGACAUCUCUGCCCUCCUCUGCAGGGCCCGCGGGGACCGCCCGGGGAGCAGGGCAGGAAGGGAGACCGCGGGGCGCCAGGCGAGCUGGGAGAGACGGGCGAGAAGGGGGACCGUGGUGCGCCAGGCCCCGAGGGCGAGAAGGGUGAAGUUGGAGCCCCGGGACGGCCGGGGCCAUCAGGCAGAGAGGU
This 824-nucleotide long non-coding RNA is filed under the name Anas platyrhynchos (mallard). RNAcentral describes it as "lncRNA (ENSAPLG00020004123.1)". Lineage: Eukaryota; Metazoa; Chordata; Aves; Anseriformes; Anatidae. The record is from RNAcentral.